AAGAUUCUAUAACAAAAUUUCACUCUUUCUUGAAUUUUCUCCGUGGGUAUUCGUUAAAGUUGGUUUAUCUUGACAAUUAUUGGAUAAUAUGGUAAGUUUUGUGGAUUUUCUGCUUGCUACUCUGAAAGUCAUGACAUUAAUCUUCUCCUUUUUGUAGCUUUUCUCUAUAUUGAGUUCAUAAGGUAGUUUCUCUGUGUGGGUGUGUCUUUGCAUCUGCAUGCAUAUGUUCAUUUUCCUUCCUAGAGGAACACUUAAUGACUUAGUGAAACAUUUUU
RNAcentral lists this unclassified non-coding RNA (275 nucleotides) under Hevea brasiliensis (rubber tree). The record is from RNAcentral. Lineage: Eukaryota; Viridiplantae; Streptophyta; Magnoliopsida; Malpighiales; Euphorbiaceae.